CAGAAGCUUUGCGAUCGCUCACCUAAAAUCAUUACAAACAAUUGCUUAAUUCGGUUAGUACUCUGUUGACAUUCCUCAAGCGUAGCCGACGCGGUCUUAUCAUAAACGUAAACGUUUUUACUGUCGAUAGGGAAUAUUUUAGUGGUUCUAGACUUGCAUACAAUACCUCAUUUGUUAGCGGUUUACAAAACUCGUAUAACGAUUAAAAGCCGAUUUGUUUCUCGUAAAUUAAUUAUUUUUGUGCUGUGACUAUAAUUGCUCCGACUUUAUUCUCGUAUACUCGUACAUACAUAAAGUUAAACACAAAAUAAAACACGAAAUUGGAGUGCUAAUAAAUAGAACACAUAAAAAUAAGAACAAAUAAACAAACAGAAAUCAUCAGCAAUCUUCAUGCCACAAAGCUCUGUAAACUUGUGUUUGAUUCGAAAUGGUUAUUCGAAUCGAAAGCCGCAGCGCCAUCUACCGUCAUUGCCUGAAUGCUUUUUACCAGCUGAGAGCAUACACAAAAACAAAAUCAAAAACAGCUGGGAGCGUCAGAAGAUGGAAACCGAGAAGGAGGAAGCUAGGAAUUUGCAGGUGGAAUUCGAAUGGGUGCUGCGCGAGGAAGUGCAUACAAUCAUGAAACAAUUAAAAAAAAUAUUGGUGGAAUGUGCUCACCUUUUCCCUGUGCCGCUUUAUGCAAAUGAGGGAAAAAAGACUGAAAAGUACAUCAUGAAUGUUGCGCCAGAAAAACUCCGGGCCAUGGUUACUCUAACGGGUGAUAGCAUCAUACAUGCAGAUAUAAGUUUUAAGCUGGCACGGCCUCCACACCAACAGCAAAAAACAUUUAUAAAUCAGGACUCGCCGUGGAAGUUACAGCAAGUACAGGAUGCAGCAAACCAUCUUCAGCAAGCAAUCAAUCACAUCGAUGACGUAGAUGCAACCUACCAUUUCAAAACUUCCGACGAAGUAAUGAAUGUAGUUGGUAACAUACUAGAAGCAUUGCAACGAGCAAGAACUAGUUUGGUGAUACCAAAGAAAAAACCAAUUGCUGACCUGAUUAAAAGCCGUAAUAUGAAAUCCCUAGCCCCAAAUUUGUCGGAAGACUUAGCAGUCAGUUUUUAUCUUCAAAGUCACAAAUUAAUUAUGGCGGUUUAUCAAUUAAUUACAGUACAGGGCUCAAUGCGUUUUGAUUCUUGUCAAGCUGAGGCGACUGUGCAAUGGCUGAACGACGUAAUGCCUUUAUUGUGCGCCGGACUGAAGCUCUGCCAACAACUUAAAGACAAGAUCUCUGUGUUCUCAGUAUACAAGGAUUUUACUGUGGAGUCCCGCUCACCAUCAGCACUUUCCUAUUGACACUUAUAAAAAGCAACUGGUGACUGAAUUGGAAACAAAGCUAGGGAAACUUACAGAUCAUCACAAUUUCAAUACUGGAGACUUAGGAGUUAAUUCAAUUUGGCAACAUCAUGUGCAUCCACACGCCAGUUUCUCUAUGAAAUUUGAAGAAAAAAUAUGAAACGUAUGCACAGUACACCACACAAAAGGCCUAAAACAAUAAAAAUGUGCCGAUUUUUUGUUCAAUUAACUAAUAACUACUCAUCAUAAUAUACAUACAUGUGUAUUCAUAUAUUUAGUGUGAGUUUAGCGUUGAUAAGUUUAUAAUUUUCUUAUAUUUUUAGGUUUUUAUUGAAAUAUUAUAUAUAGAUAUAUAUACCGUGACAGUACUUACAAUUUACUCGCCGUCUAGAAUUUUACAAAGAAAAUUAGCAGUUAAUACUACCAUUAAUGCCUUUUCUGCUUAAAAAGCAAUGAAGAAGAAAUAAAAUAUGCCUUUUGAUAUAUUCAGCUUUAGCGGUUAAAAUACACUUGCAUACAUGUGAGUGGGAAGUUCAAAUUGCUGUAAUUAUUGUAAUGAAAAUAUUGAAAAAUAAAUAAAAAAUAAACAAAAUAC
RNAcentral lists this unclassified non-coding RNA (1930 nucleotides) under Ceratitis capitata (Mediterranean fruit fly). RNAcentral's name for it is "protein rogdi, transcript variant X1". Lineage: Eukaryota; Metazoa; Arthropoda; Insecta; Diptera; Tephritidae. The record is from RNAcentral.